UGUCCUCUAGGGCCUGCAGUCU
Molecule: microRNA, 22 nt
Filed under: Macaca mulatta (Rhesus monkey)
Lineage: Eukaryota; Metazoa; Chordata; Mammalia; Primates; Cercopithecidae
Also listed under: 2 other names
Description: Mml-Mir-3909_3p (mature (guide))
Source: RNAcentral